GACGAACGCUGGCGGCGCGCUUAACACAUGCAAGUCGAACGAUGAAGCCGGAGCUUGCUCUGGUGAAUUAGUGGCGAACGGGUGAGUAACACGUGAGUAACCUGCCCUUGACUCUGGGAUAACUGCGGGAAACUGUAGCUAAUACCGGAUACGACCCUCGGAGGCAUCUCCUGGGGGUGGAAAGAGUUUCGGUCCAGGAUGACUCGCGGCCUAUCAGCCAGUUGGUGAGGUAAAGGCUCACCAAGGCGACGACGGGUAGCCGGCCUGAGAGGGUGACCGGCCACACUGGGACUGAGACACGGCCCAGACUCCUACGGGAGGCAGCAGUGGGGAAUAUUGCACAAUGGGCGCAAGCCUGAUGCAGCAACGCCGCGUGAGGGAUGACGGCCUUCGGGUUGUAAACCUCUUUUAGCAGGGAAGAAGCGAAAGUGACGGUACCUGCAGAAAAAGCACCGGCUAACUACGUGCCAGCCGCCGCCGUAA
This 483-nucleotide ribosomal RNA is filed under the name uncultured bacterium. RNAcentral's name for it is "partial 16S ribosomal RNA". It matches the Rfam family "Bacterial small subunit ribosomal RNA", at positions 28 to 523 of the family's 1533-position model. The record is from RNAcentral.